This 803-nucleotide long non-coding RNA is filed under the name Danio rerio (zebrafish). Its description in RNAcentral is "si:ch211-14c17.4 (ENSDARG00000095804.2)". Lineage: Eukaryota; Metazoa; Chordata; Actinopteri; Cypriniformes; Danionidae. The record is from RNAcentral.
CGUUUUAGAAAAUAGUUUGUAAUAAUAAUAUUCAAUGGAAUAAAUGUGAUUAAUUUAGCUGGAAAUCUUCAGGAAAGAGGAGUAUUAUUCUCUGAGUGAACAUAAAUCCGACAGAUGGCGCUCUCCGCUUAUAAAACCGACACUGAACAAGAAACAAACGAUAUAUAUAAAUGCGAAAGUCCUUCAGGCUCUGCAGCGAAACGCUGAGGUGAUUGGAAGACAGGAAGAGGAUCUGAGCGCUUCCUCUUUACUCUCAGAGUUUCAUCAGGACAAAUACCCAGAAGGAGGAUAGAGGGACUGUAAACUGUCCGAACGGACCGUGAGAAAACAGGAAGUGCUCCUGAGCGCAAGAGAAAGCGAGAUGAAAUCUAUUUACAGGGCUUUUUCUCUGGGGAAGACGGAGCCAUUGUUACACAGCGAGUUUGUGCAGCGAUAUCCUUCCUAUAGACGAGGAGACACUCAACUGCCAAAAAACGUAUCUGGUCAUCGUUCGGACCAGCCCAAGACGUCCACCAUACUGCUGCCUGACCUUUGACCUCCACGACACAACAAACCGAAAGUGUUUUCUCCGUACGUCUGUGUGCAGCACACGGUGCAGACGCAGCCGGCUGAGGUCGAUCAUUUCUGGCGUGAAUCGGUGAGGAUGAGGAAAUACAGGAUGAUGAGGAGGAAGAAGAGCCAGAUCUACACUUCUGCUGCUCGCGUCUUCUGAACGCUUGCUCUCCGACGAGUCCAUGAUCACGAUUUCUGGAUCAUCAGACUAUCAUCUCCAUCAGCUGUGGAGGAGAACAACAUGGAGAGCA